UUUUCUGUUGGGAUUCAAGGGAUUGUGAACAAAUGGAAAAAAGCGACGAUCACAACAAAAAGCACAAGUACAAGGGUUAAUUUUGAGACACGGAAAGUCAAAGUUCAAGGAGUUGGAAGGGGCGGCACAGAGUUACACUGAAAUAAGCAAUGGCAGGAUUAAUACCGUUAAUAGAGUCAAGCGUAUUGUACAUAAUAAUGCAUUUGGUAAGAGAUGGUAUGCCCAAAAUGGGAUAUGUGCGUGCCCGUGGCGUGACACG
Molecule: small RNA, 259 nt
Filed under: Drosophila ananassae
Lineage: Eukaryota; Metazoa; Arthropoda; Insecta; Diptera; Drosophilidae
Description: GF28205
Source: RNAcentral